UAAUACGUAGGUGGCAAGCGUUGUCCGGAAUUAUUGGGCGUAAAGCGCGCGCAGGCGGCUUCUUAAGUCUGAUGUGAAAUCUUGCGGCUCAACCGCAAGCGGUCAUUGGAAACUGGGAGGCUUGAGUGCAGAAGAGGAGAGUGGAAUUCCACGUGUAGCGGUGAAAUGCGUAGAGAUGUGGAGGAACACCAGUGGCGAAGGCGGCUCUCUGGUCUGUAACUGACGCUGAGGCGCGAAAGCGUGGGGAGCAAACAGGAUUAGAUACCCUGGUAGUCCACGCCGUAAACGAUGAGUGCUAAGUGUUAGAGGGUUUCCACCCUUUAGUGCUGCAGCUAACGCAUUAAGCACUCCGCCUGGGGAGUACGGCCGCAAGGCUGAA
Molecule: ribosomal RNA, 379 nt
Filed under: uncultured bacterium
Lineage: Bacteria
Description: bacterial SSU rRNA
Rfam family: Bacterial small subunit ribosomal RNA
Source: RNAcentral